This is a long non-coding RNA of Panicum hallii, 1737 nucleotides long. RefSeq lists it as uncharacterized. The record is from RefSeq and is a predicted model, not a curated record. Lineage: Eukaryota; Viridiplantae; Streptophyta; Magnoliopsida; Poales; Poaceae. The transcript has 3 exons.
CGGCGACGACCCACCCCCGUCCUCCACCCGUGCAGUUUUCGAAAUCCCGCACCCCACCCCCCGACGCCCCGUCGCGCCGCCGCCGGAUCCCAUCGUCCCCCACCCAGGCACCCCUCCCGCCGCCGGUUCCUGUCGCGCCACUCGCCAUCCGACGCCGUCGGGGGCAGGUUGUGGUGCGGCCGCCGCGGGGGUCCUGGUUGUCGCGUGACCGCCCGCGCCCGCCGGGGUGAGGUGGUCGCCGCCGCCGGGAAGGCUUCCGACCUCGACGCGCACCAUUGACCGCCCCCCCCCCUCCCCCUCCUGUCCCGGUGGUGCUUCUAGCCGACCGCCGUCAGGGACUGGCUGCCAGCCUGCCACGCACCUCCUGGUACGAGUCCGCCCUCGUCGUUCCGAGCUGCGCAAGUCGCGCACUGAUCCCGGCACCGUCGCCCCCAGAUCAGUACCUGCCGCCGCCGUUGCCGUCGACCGCCGGCCGGAUUCCAGCUGCGAUCCGCGCGGGAACUCAUCCAUCGGCAACAAGUUGAUUCCAUGGCGGAUCCGAUUUAGUUCCCCAUGGUGCCGGGGGCAAUACAAGGUCAAGCUCGCAGGAUCUGAAGCGGUCGCCGCCCUCUCCCUCCGAGAUUUCUCAUUCGACGCGCUUGUCACGUUUGGCGGUGGAGCCCUGAUCUCUUUUGACUGUGGAGAUCGAAUUUCUAUGCUGGUUAAUUGCAGCCUUGCAGGCAACAAAGCAUGAGAACACCAGGAUCGAUGGUCAUGUGGCCGAUCACAGCCGAGACAACACCGCCGUCGUCGUGGCGUUGAUAUCCAUUAGCUGGGUGCAGGAGAGGUUGCCGAGGAGCAGCUUCUGAUGUGCCUCCUUCUGUCCAGGCAGGUAUAUGUAUUCUUUAUUUUUGCGGUUUUUCUAAGAACUUAGAGAAUUAUGCACCAGUUUAAUAGGUAUGUGCAAAUUAAUGUUACCUGGAUUGCUUUUAUCCGUGAAAAUGAAUACACAUUGAUGUUAGGAUUGAUCUCGUCCGACUCGGUCGUUGGACCGAGUUGGAGUCCUUGAUCGCGCCCUGAUCGGGGGCGCCCAACCGAGAUGUGGUUGGUGGGCUCUCGUCGCGCAGCGCUAUAUAGAAGAGGUGGGGGCCGCAGGGGCACAAAUGCCAAAGUUCGCCGUGUCCCCUGACCCACCGACAAACCCUAAUCCAAUCUAGGGAGUGCUGUGAGCGAUAGGAAGUGCCGCCGCAUUCUGCACCGCGCCUCCAUCGUCGACCCCUUCACUGACACCACAUCUGCGCCCCGACGCCGGCGUCCUCGACCACCGACGUCGUCCACGCCGCCACUACUGCAUCCUCAACGUCGGCGUCCUCGACCACCGACGUUGCUCCCGCCACUGCGACACCGUCACCGUCGCCAUGGCAAGCUCCUCCACCAAGCCCGAAGCAAUUGGUCAGAGUGAUGGAGCUGCACCUCCCGCUCACGGAGAGGACGACAUAGGGUGUCACAGGUCUCUCCUUCACCAGGUGCAAGUAGCUGGAAGGUUCCCCUCGACGUUGUAUUUUGUGGUUGGGUGUCGAGGAUCUAAUAUUUUUAUGUGAGCAAUCCGUCAUGUUUUAUUGUUAUGCAGCAUUGUUUUUUCUUUUUGCAAGCAAUAGAUGGCUGUAUAUUGACCAAAUUUAUAGCGACAGAAGUGCUAUUGUUGAAGAUAUGUUUACUUUUUUCUAUCAUGAUUAUUAGUGAAUGCUGCUUAACACA